CUUAUGCGUUGUUGGGUAGGGGAGCGUUCUGUAAGCCUGCGAAGGUGUGCUGUGAGGCAUGCUGGAGGUAUCAGAAGUGCGAAUGCUGACAUAAGUAACGAUAAAGCGGGUGAAAAGCCCGCUCGCCGGAAGACCAAGGGUUCCUGUCCAACGUUAAUCGGGGCAGGGUGAGUCGACCCCUAAGGCGAGGCCGAAAGGCGUAGUCGAUGGGAAACAGGUUAAUAUUCCUGUACUUGGUGUUACUGCGAAGGGGGGACGGAGAAGGCUAUGUUGGCCGGGCGACGGUUGUCCCGGUUUAAGCGUGUAGGCUGGUUUUCCAGGCAAAUCCGGAAAAUCAAGGCUGAGGCGUGAUGACGAGGCACUACGGUGCUGAAGCAACAAAUGCCCUGCUUCCAGGAAAAGCCUCUAAGCAUCAGGUAACAUCAAAUCGUACCCCAAACCGACACAGGUGGUCAGGUAGAGAAUACCAAGGCGCUUGAGAGAACUCGGGUGAAGGAACUAGGCAAAAUGGUGCCGUAACUUCGGGAGAAGG
Molecule: ribosomal RNA, 532 nt
Filed under: Escherichia coli
Lineage: Bacteria; Pseudomonadati; Pseudomonadota; Gammaproteobacteria; Enterobacterales; Enterobacteriaceae
Description: partial 23S ribosomal RNA
Rfam family: Bacterial large subunit ribosomal RNA
Source: RNAcentral